This 530-nucleotide ribosomal RNA is filed under the name Rhizobium sp. RNAcentral's name for it is "bacterial SSU rRNA". It matches the Rfam family "Bacterial small subunit ribosomal RNA", at positions 817 to 1357 of the family's 1533-position model. The record is from RNAcentral. Lineage: Bacteria; Pseudomonadati; Pseudomonadota; Alphaproteobacteria; Hyphomicrobiales; Rhizobiaceae.
UAGCCGUCGCGCAGUAUACUUUUGUGUGGCGCAGCUAACGCUUUAAACAUUCCGCCUGGGGAGUACGGUCGCAAGAUUAAAACUCAAAGGAAUUGACGGGGGCCCGCACAAGCGGUGGAGCAUGUGUUUUAAUUAGAAGCAACGAGCAGCACCUCACCAUCCCUUGACAUGCCCGGCUUCUUUCAGAUAUACAAGGUUCCCUUGGGGGUCCGGGACACAGGUGCGCAUGGCUGUCGUCAACUCGUGUCGUGAGAUGUUGGAAGUAGUCCCGCAACGAGCACAACCCUCCCUUUAGUUGCCAACAUUCACUUGGGCACCUAAGGGGACGCCCAGUGAUAAACGAUUAAGAGGAGAAGGAAUUCAAAGUCUUCAUGCCCCAAGACCAUGGGCUACCCACUGGUAAAAUGGGUGGUGACAAUGGGCAGUGCCCACGGGUGUGUUACUUAAUUUUCAAAAGCCAUCUCAGUUCGGAUUGCAGUCUGCAACUCGAGUGCAGAAGUCGAAUCGUUAGUAAUCACGGAUCAGCAUGC